ACGAGAGGUCCAAACGUUAUUCGGAAUUACUGGGUUUACAGAGUUCGUAGGCGGUUCUACAAGUGAGGUGUGAAAGCCCUCGGCUCAACCGAGGAACUGCGCUUCAAACUGUAGAACUAGAGGGAGAUAGAGGUGAGCAGAACUGAUGGUGGAGCGGUGAAAUGCGUUGAUAUCAUCAGGAAUGCCGGAGGCGAAGGCGGCUCACUGGGUCUCUUCUGACGCUGAGGAACGAAAGCUAGGGGAGCAAACGGGA
RNAcentral lists this ribosomal RNA (253 nucleotides) under uncultured prokaryote. Its description in RNAcentral is "partial 16S ribosomal RNA". It matches the Rfam family "Bacterial small subunit ribosomal RNA", at positions 525 to 777 of the family's 1533-position model. The record is from RNAcentral.